RNAcentral lists this small RNA (385 nucleotides) under Spisula solidissima (Atlantic surf clam). RNAcentral's name for it is "cnRNA174". Lineage: Eukaryota; Metazoa; Mollusca; Bivalvia; Venerida; Mactridae. The record is from RNAcentral.
AACCACAGCGUUCGACAUUCGACCACAGCAUUCGAUCACAACAUUCGACCACAACAUUCGAUCACAACAUUCGGCCACAACAUUCAACCACAGCAUUCGACCACAGAAUUCGACCACAGCAUUCGACCACAACAUUCAACCACAGCAUUCGACCACAGCAUUCGACCACAGCAUUCGACCACAGCAUUCGACACUCGAUCACAACAUUCAACCACAGCAUUCAACCACAGCAUUCGACCUCAGCAUUCAACCACAGCAUUCAACCACAGCAUUCAACCACAGCAUUCGACCACAGCAUUCGACAUUCGAUCACAACAUUCAACCACAGCAUUCAACCACAUCAUUCGACCUCAGCAUUCAACCACAGCAUUCAACCAAAGCAUUC